UAGCCAGGUUAGAGAGGGAGUGGUG
Molecule: unclassified non-coding RNA, 25 nt
Filed under: Mus musculus (house mouse)
Lineage: Eukaryota; Metazoa; Chordata; Mammalia; Rodentia; Muridae
Description: oocyte_clustered_small_RNA12232
Source: RNAcentral